UAAGCUCAGAAUAAUUGUUGA
This 21-nucleotide non-coding RNA is filed under the name Caenorhabditis elegans. The record is from RNAcentral. Lineage: Eukaryota; Metazoa; Nematoda; Chromadorea; Rhabditida; Rhabditidae.